RNAcentral lists this ribosomal RNA (253 nucleotides) under uncultured bacterium. RNAcentral's name for it is "partial 16S ribosomal RNA". It matches the Rfam family "Bacterial small subunit ribosomal RNA", at positions 524 to 776 of the family's 1533-position model. The record is from RNAcentral.
UACGUAGGGUGCGAGCGUUAUUCGGAAUUACUGGGCGUAAAGCGUGCGUAGGCGGUUGGCUAAGUCAGACGUGAAAGCCCCGGGCUUAACCUGGGAAUUGCGGUUGAAACUAGUCGACUAGAAUCUGGCAGAGGGGGGUGGAAUUCCACGUGUAGCAGUGAAAUGCGUAGAGAUGUGGAGGAACACCGAUGGCGAAGGCAGCCCCCUGGGCUGACACUGACGCUGAGGCACGAAAGCGUGGGGAGCAAACAGG